Pistacia vera is the source of this 450-nucleotide long non-coding RNA. RefSeq lists it as uncharacterized. Lineage: Eukaryota; Viridiplantae; Streptophyta; Magnoliopsida; Sapindales; Anacardiaceae. The record is from RefSeq and is a predicted model, not a curated record. The transcript has 3 exons.
CAAUCAAUCUUCUAAUUGCUCUUUUCUUAUAAAUCUUCUUCUCGUUGGGAUUCGUCUAAUUGCCCUGUUUUUCUUAAUCUUCUUCUCGUUGCGAUUAGGGCAAAAGGUUGAAUGGAUUAAUCAAUCUAUCUGCUUCAAGAGCAAAUACGCCACAAACACCGCCUAUCCGACAAUCCACGACGGACAACAGCGGUUGCGCUCUAUAUCCGGCGAACUAAAGCCGGUCCGAAGAGAGAUUUACGGUGAAGGCCAAAUCUAUGACAUGAACCACCAUUAUACGGAAUACAUCAUUAUAAUUUACAUCGGUAUUUUGACGUAUUACAACGAAUGCCGCAUUUUAAUUUCCUUGUUUGGUUGAAAAAACUGGAUUGAGACUGGGGAACAUUUGACCCUCAGCUUCUUGUAGAGUACUUUGAGUUAGAGAAAGAGAAGGAGAAGGAGAAAAGGGAC